AGAGUUUGAUCCUGGCUCAGAGCGAACGCUGGCGGCAUGCUUAACACAUGCAAGUCUCACGGGCAGCAAUGUCAGUGGCGGACGGGUGAGUAACGCGUAGGUAUCUAUCCUUGGGUGGGGGACAACCGUGGGAAACUACGGCUAAUACCGCAUGAUGACUGAGGUCCAAAGGCGCAAGUCGCCUGGGGAGGAGCCUGCGUACGAUUAGCUAGUUGGUGGGGUAAAGGCCUACCAAGGCUGUGAUCGUUAGCUGGUCUGAGAGGAUGAUCAGCCACACUGGGACUGAGACACGGCCCAGACUCCUACGGGAGGCAGCAGUGGGGAAUAUUGGACAAUGGGCGAAAGCCUGAUCCAGCAAUGCCGCGUGUGUGAAGAAGGUUUUCGGAUUGUAAAGCACUUUCGACGGGGACGAUGAUGACGGUACCCGUAGAAGAAGCCCCGGCUAACUUCGUGCCAGCAGCCGCGGUAAUACGAAGGGGGCUAGCGUUGCUCGGAAUGACUGGGCGUAAAGGGCGCGUAGGCGGAUUGUACAGUCAGAUGUGAAAUUCCUGGGCUUAACCUGGGGGCUGCAUUUGAUACGUAUAGUCUUGAGUAAGGAAGAGGGUCGUGGAAUUCCCAGUGUAGAGGUGAAAUUCGUAGAUAUUGGGAAGAACACCGGUGGCGAAGGCGGCGACCUGGUCCUUGACUGACGCUGAAGCGCGAAAGCGUGGGGAGCAAACAGGAUUAGAUACCCUAGUAGUCC
RNAcentral lists this ribosomal RNA (742 nucleotides) under uncultured bacterium. Its description in RNAcentral is "bacterial SSU rRNA". It matches the Rfam family "Bacterial small subunit ribosomal RNA", at positions 8 to 796 of the family's 1533-position model. The record is from RNAcentral.